GUAACUUAGCCUUGACAGAUUUGAGUUACUGCAGUAGUGUAACUUUGAAAAUACACUAAAAAUAGUGGAAAAUGAGUUAGAGGCAGAAUAAAAUAUGGGAUUAAAUAUUAAUGAGUCUAUUUUCACAUGAAAGAAAUAGAGGAAGAAAAAUAAUUCUAUAUUGUGUGAUAUUUAAAUUCUUGUGAAACAGGGUCUGAAUGAAUUUGAGAUCCCCUAUUCUGAUUUUAUAAAUUCA
RNAcentral lists this long non-coding RNA (235 nucleotides) under Gossypium barbadense (sea-island cotton). RNAcentral describes it as "long non-coding RNA (GBAR_LNC010486)". The record is from RNAcentral. Lineage: Eukaryota; Viridiplantae; Streptophyta; Magnoliopsida; Malvales; Malvaceae.